Molecule: long non-coding RNA, 877 nt
Filed under: Catharus ustulatus (Swainson's thrush)
Lineage: Eukaryota; Metazoa; Chordata; Aves; Passeriformes; Turdidae
Description: lncRNA (ENSCUSG00005012087.1)
Source: RNAcentral
ACUACCCAGUGCUCUGCCUUAGUGGCCUCCAUCAAGACUCUGCAAAGGAAAAAUUUGCAUCCAGAUUUCCACAAACUUGAAUAUGUGUCAGGAUAUUAUGGCUUAGGCUGGCAGCUGGAGCAGGUUGCUGUUGAUCCCUUUGUACUUCAGUGCUUCUGUUACAUGAACCAGCCAAACAUCAGAAGGAACACUCUGCAGAUGCACAUUGAAGAUUGUCUGUGAAGAACUGCAAAGGGUUUGGUAUGUGUGGUUAUCAGCAGAGUAGAGCACAGAUGACACUGACUUCCACAGCUCCAUUUGCUGGACAAGACCUUGGCUUUGGUAAGUUUUAAUCCACAGUAAUUUUCUAAGGUGUUAGGAGGACAAGGUGGAAGCGAGGCAUGGAAGGGGUAUUUCAGCCCACCAUGGAACUGUGAUGGACUCAGCUGGAGGAGUGGGCAGCAAAAAUUGGCAUAACUUGUGGUGGGAAGGCCAGUAGAAAUGUACAGCACCAGGGCAGAUGGUUGAGAUGGCUUUGAAGGCUGAGGGUGUCAAUGAAAAGCUGUGAUGCUUGAUGAAAUAACACUUGUCAGUGGUGUGGCAAAUGUAGCUGGAGCUGGGUACAGGCAUGUGUCAGAGUGGAUAGGCAAAGCCAGAACAACAGAAUAGCACAUAACAAUAAUUCAGAAUUCUGGAGCAGUGAUGUAGUGCCAAAGGUCAGCAAUGACACCAGAGUCAAAUGUGUUCACUAGGGAAGAAGCUGCCUUGACAGGUUAGCUUAACUCAGGUGUGCUGAACUGAGUCAGCCAAGGGAUAAAAAAUGGGUAAGGCCCGAGCAGAGUUAAUGUGGGCAGCAGAAAGAAGAGGAUGAGGAAUAUAUCCAAGGCCAAAGGAUAGA